UGGGGAAUAUUGGGCAAUGGAGGGAACUCUGACCCAGCGACGCCGCGUGCGGGAUGAAGGCCUUCGGGUUGUAAACCGCUUUCAGCAGGGAAGAAGCGAAAGUGACGGUACCUGCAGAAGAAGCACCGGCUAACUAUGUGCCAGCAGCCGCGGUAAUACAUAGGGUGCAAGCGUUAUCCGGAAUGAUUGGGCGUAAAGGGUCCGCAGGUGGCACUGUAAGUCUGCUGUUAAAGAGUUUGGCUCAACCAAAUAAAAGCAGUGGAAACUACAAAGCUAGAGUAUGGUCGGGGCAGAAGGAAUUCCUGGUGUAGCAGUGAAAUGCGUAGAUAUGCGGAGGAACACCGAUGGCGAAGGCAAUCCCCUGGACCUGUACUGACGCUCAUGCACGAAAGCGUGGGGAGCAAACAGG
This 409-nucleotide ribosomal RNA is filed under the name uncultured bacterium. RNAcentral's name for it is "bacterial SSU rRNA". It matches the Rfam family "Bacterial small subunit ribosomal RNA", at positions 355 to 776 of the family's 1533-position model. The record is from RNAcentral.